AAACCCUCUGCAGACAAGGCUGACCUCAAACUCACAGAGAUCAGGUUUGUCUCUGCCUCCCUACUGCUGGGAUCAAAGGUGUGUGCUGCCACCGCCCUGCUCAUAGGCUUAAAAAAUACAGAUUUUAUUAUUAUUCCUUUGUGUGCAGGUGCUUGUGGGGUCAAGAAGAGGUCAUCAGGUCACCUGGAGCUUGAUGAAAGACGGUGGUCCCUUCCUCUCACAGACAAUCUCAGAAGCAUGUGGAACAAUGUUGAGCUGCUAACAAGUGAUGACACUGGAAGUGGACACAUCAAUGGUGGUUCAAGAAAAGAAAAUGUGACUGCUUUGUAUCAAGUAGACUUACUUGGGAGGAUCUCCUCUGAGAAGAUACUGUCGUGGAUGUGGUGGGCCUGUGUCAAGAAGGAAAGUUUCUUUUGGUCGGUGAAAGGAGUGGCAACUUACAUCUUAUCCAUGUAACAUCAAAGCAAACAUUAUUCACCAAAGUAAGAGCCCUGUUU
This 497-nucleotide long non-coding RNA is filed under the name Cricetulus griseus (Chinese hamster). RNAcentral's name for it is "lncRNA (ENSCGRG00000024476.1)". Lineage: Eukaryota; Metazoa; Chordata; Mammalia; Rodentia; Cricetidae. The record is from RNAcentral.